AUCUUUUGUAAAAACCGAUCCAUUAAAUAUUUUGUAAAAACCGAUUUAUAAGGAAUAUUUUAGAAGUUUCUUUAUAAUUUUUUUGGUCAAUCAUUAAUUAGAAAUUUAUAAAAUAAUGACUGUCUAAAUGUUUUUAUAAAAUUAAUCUAAAACAAAAGAUGACUUGUGAAACAUGGAAAAUGUAGUAUUUGGUUAUUUACUAAGCCCAGUAACCAACUUACAGAAAAUAGAUAGAUAACUAGAAAAAUAAUUUUACUAUCAUGUGUAUAUUUAUUAUAAUAAAUGUGAGUUAUCUCUCUUUUCCUUGCGCCACGUCAUCAUAUAACAUGGGGCUUAGAAGAUGUUCUAAGCAACUUUUAUUUUUCUCAUAAACGCAUCCUACCGCUGAU
This 389-nucleotide long non-coding RNA is filed under the name Brassica napus (rape). Its description in RNAcentral is "long non-coding RNA (BNAP_LNC016428)". Lineage: Eukaryota; Viridiplantae; Streptophyta; Magnoliopsida; Brassicales; Brassicaceae. The record is from RNAcentral.